Molecule: unclassified non-coding RNA, 243 nt
Filed under: Hevea brasiliensis (rubber tree)
Lineage: Eukaryota; Viridiplantae; Streptophyta; Magnoliopsida; Malpighiales; Euphorbiaceae
Source: RNAcentral
GGUCAGUAAUUACCAACGAAUCUUUUCGUCGAUAUUGUUUUGAUUUGGUCGCUAAUUUUACUGCCAAUGUUAGGCGUUACUUUUACCUAUGAAAUUGUGUCGUCGGUAAAGAGUUCAUCGGUAAUCGGUCUGUAAUAUCAUCGAUAUAAAUUGGUUUAAAUUUUAUUUUUCUUUUUCAUCUGUAAAACAUCGGUAAAUUAUUAAUGAAAUUCUGUGGGCAGUAAUUCUCAUAGUUAUUUUUAA